Molecule: ribosomal RNA, 465 nt
Filed under: Vreelandella stevensii
Lineage: Bacteria; Pseudomonadati; Pseudomonadota; Gammaproteobacteria; Oceanospirillales; Halomonadaceae
Description: partial 16S ribosomal RNA
Rfam family: Bacterial small subunit ribosomal RNA
Source: RNAcentral
CCUACGGGGGGCAGCAGUGGGGAAUAUUGGACAAUGGGGGGAACCCUGAUCCAGCCAUGCCGCGUGUGUGAAGAAGGCCCUCGGGUUGUAAAGCACUUUCAGUGAGGAAGAACGCCUGGUGGUUAAUACCCAUCAGGAAAGACAUCACUCACAGAAGAAGCACCGGCUAACUCCGUGCCAGCAGCCGCGGUAAUACGGAGGGUGCGAGCGUUAAUCGGAAUUACUGGGCGUAAAGCGCGCGUAGGUGGCUUGAUAAGCCGGUUGGGCAAGCCCCGGGCUCAACCUGGGAACGGCAUCCGGAACUGUCAAGCUAGAGUGCAGGAGAGGAAGGUAGAAUUCCCGGUGUAGCGGUGAAAUGCGUAGAGAUCGGGAGGAAUACCAGUGGCGAAGGCGGCCUUCUGGACUGACACUGACACUGAGGUGCGAAAGCGUGGGUAGCAAACAGGAUUAGCUACCCCGGUAGUC